CGACUUGAUUUUGGUGUUACUGUAAACAAUCAUAGGAUGUCAUUUGUAAAAAAAAUCGAGUGUUUAAUAGUGAUUUCGAAUGAUAUUUGUUAUAUAUCAAGCAAUCCGAAGAAUUUAAAAAGCUAUUCUCAAGCUAAUACAUGGGGGAUUAAGAAAACAAAUUUCGUUCAAUGUGCAAGUGUGCAGGCCCGGAAAAUAUUGGAUUCUCCCUUACCCCCAUGGCACUGCGGCGG
Molecule: long non-coding RNA, 233 nt
Organism: Armigeres subalbatus
Lineage: Eukaryota; Metazoa; Arthropoda; Insecta; Diptera; Culicidae
Exons: 3
Source: RefSeq, a predicted model, not a curated record